AGACAGGCUCAGCUCCCAGCUGCAACUGGCAGGUCUGAGGCUCAGUUCUCACAGAAGAGCAAACCCACCAAGGGCAGCGCUCGCCUCCGGAGCCAUGUGCUGGCCUGGGGAGCCUGCCACCUCGAGGGCCCAACAACUUCUCAGAGUGGGGGAGGGGCCCGGCAUCUCCUGAGCCGCAGCUCCCCGAAGCUCCUGGCUGAUAUCCACCGACCUGUGAUGUCAUCCACAAACACAUGGAAGGCAAAAGUGCCUCUCCCUGGGAAUGAAAGGGCAGGGGCUGGGCUAGUCACCGCAUGGGAAGCAGAAACCAGACACAGACAGAGAGAGCACCCAGAAGAAAUCAGAGCACAGCCAAACUUCUAAUCAGGAGAAGAAAAGCUAUGGAUUCCUUCAAAAUGAAUGAAAAUCAGAUUUGAUCAGGGGAGACCCCCUGAAGAUCCUGACUGCAGACAUGAAAGAAAUCAAGAAUACCAACAAAACAGACAGGUCAGCUCCAGGCAGCACCCCCAUUCUACUUCAUAGAAGAUGAUGAGCAUCGAGAACCUCUGUACGGAGUUUGCUUCAAAUGUGGCAAACAAGCCACUGGGCAAGAAACUGCCCUUGCUUCAGCCGCUGACAGUAUGCUGUCCAAACUGGACCAACAGGAUGCAGGAGUUGCCCUGGUCCCAGUGUCUCUUCACAACAGUGAACAGUGUCUAAACAGGUUUCAAAUUUUGAUUGGUUGGAUGAAGCAUCUAUCAAAAGAUGGCUUAUUGAAAGAGUUGGAGAUGCCUGAUACCCCUUGGCUUAGUGCUGCUGAAGGGAUUUUAAGGCUCAGGGAAUUGCAGUGCUCGAGUGGGUACGCUGUGUAAAACCUCCACAACGUGAAGGCCCAGAAGACACGCCCUUCACAAAUCCUGUAAGACACAAAAUGGUGCACCAGCACAUUUGAAGAGUUUUGCCCUUUUCCUUGUGCCAGACCUAAGGGCUGGAGAUGCUGCUGCUCAGUGGAUGAAUUAAAUGCAAUGGGUUUAACUGGGGCACAGAGUAGCAGGGCCAGGUGGCAGCACUGAAUUAACUAAGGCAAGGUGAUCAUAGUUAUUCCAAUGAGCAGCACAACAACAAAGCAAUGAUCGUAAUAGCCUGCCAUGAUGGUCAGCACAGGCAAAGUGAAUUUUAGGGUGGCAUGACUGGUAUGGACUUAGGUACUGGGUAACCAACCAUGGUGUUUCCAGGCAUGAAACAGGAAGCCUACUAUGUAAGAGGAAAAUUUCUCAAACAAAUAAAAGGCUUACAUUAAGUCAUGAUCAAGAGAGAAUCUCAACCUGUGAACCAAUUUCUAGAGUUGAGCCAGUUUGCAGACCCAGAUCUCCUUGAAUGAGGGAGUGGCCAAGUUCCACUGAUUAAGGACCUUGAUAAGACACCUAAAAGUUUUACUGUUAGUCUUUCUCCUGUCCUUCCCCAGAGGGACCUACGGGCUUUUAGAAGGGAAAUUGUACACGAGGGGAAGGAAACUAUCAGACUUCCUGAGGUCUACUGAAUGCUGUUCUGAACUGACCCUGGUUCUGGGAAACCCCUAGAGACAUGGUGGCCCAUCAGUUAAAGUCAGAGCUUAUGAUAGGAGCCAGGUGAUUAAUGGAGUUUAGGCUAAAGUCUGACUCAUAGUAGGCUCAGGGAGAGCCUGAAUUUCUCCUGUGGUUAUUUCCCAAGUCCCAGAAUGUAUAAUCGGGAUAGAUAUACUUAGAAGUUGGCAGAGUUCUCACACUGGUUCCCUGGUCUGUGGUGUGAGGGCUAUUAUGGCUGGAAAGGCUAAAUGGAAGUCUUUAGAGUUGCCUCUCUACCAUGGAAAAUAGUGAAUCCAGGAACAAGUGUCACCGUCAAGGACUUGGGAGACAAAGCGGGGAGAGGGGCUCCCAGGUCUCCCUUUAGCCCUCCUACCUGGCCUGUACAGAAUAUUUUGGUAAGAACCUGUUUGCACAGAUAUUUGUGUUUUCUUCACUAAGUUUCUUUAUCAUACAGUGUAUCAUCAAUUGAGAUAAUAUCAAUGGUUCUCACAUUUAAGUUAUGAGGUAUUAAAGUAACUUUCCUCAAAGGACAUUGCCACCUAUUCUAAAAUGUAUAAUGAAUUUGUGGUUGUACAUGUUCAAGUUAUAAAUUA
Molecule: long non-coding RNA, 2137 nt
Filed under: Mus musculus (house mouse)
Lineage: Eukaryota; Metazoa; Chordata; Mammalia; Rodentia; Muridae
Description: predicted gene, 39090, transcript variant 3 (Gm39090)
Source: RNAcentral